This 345-nucleotide ribosomal RNA is filed under the name uncultured bacterium. RNAcentral's name for it is "bacterial SSU rRNA". It matches the Rfam family "Bacterial small subunit ribosomal RNA", at positions 28 to 371 of the family's 1533-position model. The record is from RNAcentral.
GACGAACGCUGGCGGCGUGCUUAAUACAUGCAAGUCAACUUGACUUUAGAUAGCAAUAUCGAAAAGUAGGGUGGCGCACGGGUGCGUAACGCGUAGGUAAUCUGCCCUGAGGUCUGACAUAACCCGUCGAAAGGCGGCUAACAUCAGAUGAUAUAUAAUCACGACAUCGUGGAAAUAUCAAAUCUUCGGAGCCUUGGGAUGAGCCUGCGUCUGAUUAGGUAGUUGGCGGAGUAAUAGCCCACCAGGCCUACGAUCAGUAGCUGGUCUGAGAGGAUGAUCAGCCACACUGGAACUGAGACACGGUCCAGACUCCUACGGGAGGCAGCAGUAAGGAAUAUUGCUCAA